GCGGGGUCAGGACCCACGAAAUAGGGGGCGGGGAGGGACCUGAGAGGAGCGCAUGGCAGUCCCGCACGUGUGCACGCACAGACACGUGAAUUUGUACAUCCGUUUGUGCUUGGCUCGCCGGAGCUUAAAGGCAAGACCUUCCCCCCACACCGGCAGGUGGAAAGAGAGAGGGAGAAGAGACCCGGAAUACGGGGCGAAUCACAGGAGGUGGCAUUUCGCACUGGAAUAUGGGACAGCCCCACUUUGUACGCCACACAUAGAGGAAAACACACAACCACACAUCCAUUUGGUCUGAGGUUUAAAGGGCUCCCAGUCAGCCGCCAGUGUGCUGUGUUAUGAGAGAAGAUCACCUGUGUGUAUGAGGAUCAGUGUGCAUAUCCAAGCCCUCUUCCGAAAAUGAUGUCCAUCUAUAAGCAAGAGAACCGCAUUGUUUUUAUUUGCCUGUAUAGAGGAGGGGACUUGAAAGGCUUUUGGGGCAGAAAAGCAGCCUAUGAAUAUAAGUCAAUAAAGAUUGGUGUAGGGCUUUCUUCACUGUGA
Non-coding RNA from Podarcis muralis (Common wall lizard), 537 nucleotides. Lineage: Eukaryota; Metazoa; Chordata; Lepidosauria; Squamata; Lacertidae. The record is from RefSeq and is a predicted model, not a curated record.